CCCUGAAAACCGGUCUCAGUUCGGAUCGCAGUCUGCAACUCGACUGCGUGAAGGUGGAGUCGCUAGUAAUCGCGGAUCAGCAACGCCGCGGUGAAUGCGUUCCCGGGCCUUGUACACACCGCCCGUCAAGUCAUGAAAGUGGGCAGCACCCGAAGACGGUGGCCUAACCCUUGUGGGGGGAGCCGUCUAAGGUGAGGCUCGUGAUUGGGACUAAGUCGUAACAAGGUACC
Molecule: ribosomal RNA, 230 nt
Filed under: uncultured bacterium
Lineage: Bacteria
Description: partial 16S ribosomal RNA
Rfam family: Bacterial small subunit ribosomal RNA
Source: RNAcentral